UGGGGAAUAUUGGACAAUGGGCGCAAGCCUGAUCCAGCCAUGCCGCGUGGAUGAUGAAGACCCUAGGGUUGUAAAGUCCUUUCGGCGGGGAAGAUAAUGACGGUACCCGCAGAAGAAGCCCCGGCUAACUUCGUGCCAGCAGCCGCGGUAAUACGAAGGGGGCUAGCGUUGCUCGGAAUCACUGGGCGUAAAGCGCACGUAGGCGGCUUUCUAAGUCGGUGGUGAAAUCCUGGAGCUCAACUCCAGAACUGCCUCCGAUACUGGAGAGCUCGAGUCCGGGAGAGGUGGGUGGAACUGCGAGUGUAGAGGUGAAAUUCGUAGAUAUUCGCAAGAACACCAGUGGCGAAGGCGGCUCACUGGCCCGGUACUGACGCUGAGGUGCGAAAGCGUGGGGAGCAAACA
Molecule: ribosomal RNA, 402 nt
Filed under: uncultured bacterium
Lineage: Bacteria
Description: bacterial SSU rRNA
Rfam family: Bacterial small subunit ribosomal RNA
Source: RNAcentral